GUGAAUCAUCGAAUCUUUGAACGCAAAUUGCACUCUCUGGCAUUCCGGAGAGUAUGCCUGUUUGAGGGUCAGUUUAAAUAAAAAUCGGGGUGUGGCUGUUUUGUUACCGAUCGGAGUUGUGUUAGCUUUGACCUUUUUAAAAGUUUAAGUGACCUAAAAUUGAUACCUUGUGCAUCUCAGAAGUACAUAAGAUUAUUUUUUUAUCCGUACUCAGUUGCCCACUUUUUAUUAGGUAUGACCAUGCUGUUUGUAGCAUCG
RNAcentral lists this unclassified non-coding RNA (258 nucleotides) under Glomeraceae sp. RNAcentral's name for it is "partial contains 5.8S ribosomal RNA and internal transcribed spacer 2". The stretch from base 1 to 71 matches the Rfam family "5.8S ribosomal RNA", at positions 84 to 154 of the family's 154-position model. Lineage: Eukaryota; Fungi; Glomeromycota; Glomeromycetes; Glomerales; Glomeraceae. The record is from RNAcentral.